CCUACGGGUGGCUGCAGUGAGGAAUAUUGGUCAAUGGGCGCGAGCCUGAACCAGCCAAGUCGCGUGAAGGAUGACUGCCCUACGGGUUGUAAACUUCUUUUAUAAGGGAAUAAAGUGAGGCACGUGUGCCUCUUUGUAUGUACUUUAUGAAUAAGGAUCGGCUAACUCCGUGCCAGCAGCCGCGGUAAUACGGAGGAUCCGAGCGUUAUCCGGAUUUAUUGGGUUUAAAGGGUGCGUAGAGGGGUUGUUAAGUCAGUUGUGAAAGUUUGCGGCUCAACCGUAAAAUUGCAUUUGAUACUGGCAGCCUUGAGUACAGGUGAGGUAGGCGGAAUGCGUGGUGUAGCGGUGAAAUGCAUAGAUAUCACGAAGAACUCCGAUUGCGAAGGCAGCCUACUGAACUGCAACUGACGUUGAUGCUCGAAAGCGUGGGUAUCAAACAGGAUUAGAUACCCGAGUAGUC
This 460-nucleotide ribosomal RNA is filed under the name uncultured bacterium. Its description in RNAcentral is "partial 16S ribosomal RNA". It matches the Rfam family "Bacterial small subunit ribosomal RNA", at positions 338 to 795 of the family's 1533-position model. The record is from RNAcentral.